Molecule: ribosomal RNA, 503 nt
Filed under: uncultured bacterium
Lineage: Bacteria
Description: partial 16S ribosomal RNA
Rfam family: Bacterial small subunit ribosomal RNA
Source: RNAcentral
AUUGAACGCUGGCGGCAGGCUUAACACAUGCAAGUCGAGCGGGGUGAUGGUGCUUGCACUAUCACUUAGCGGCGGACGGGUGAGUAAUGCUUAGGAAUCUGCCUAUUAGUGGGGGACAACAUCUCGAAAGGGAUGCUAAUACCGCAUACGUCCUACGGGAGAAAGCAGGGGAUCACUUGUGACCUUGCGCUAAUAGAUGAUCCUAAGUCGGAUUAGCUAGUUGGUGGGGUAAAGGGCUACCAAGGCGACGAUCUGGAGCGGGUCUGAGAGGAUAAUCAGCCACACUUGGACUGAGACACGGCCCAGACUCCUACGGGAGGCAGCAGUGGGGAAUAUUGGACAAUGGGAGGAACCCUGAUCCAGCCAUGCCGCGUGUGUGAAGAAGGCCUUAUGGUUGUAAAGCACUUUAAGCGAGGAGGAGGCUCUUUUGGUUAAUACCCAAGAUGAGUGGACGUUACUCGCAGAAUAAGCACCGGCUAACUCUGUGCCAGCCGCCGCAGUAA